GACAGAGGAUGCAAGCGUUAUCCGGAAUGAUUGGGCGUAAAGAGUAUGUAGGUGGCUUAGCAAGUCUACUGUUAAAUCCCAGGGCUUAACUCUGGUCAAGCCGUAGAAACUGUUAAGCUUGAGUACGGUAGGGGCAAAGGGAAUUUCCGGUGGAGCGGUGAAAUGCGUUGAUAUCGGAAAGAACACCAAAGGCGAAAGCACUUUGCUAGGCCGAAACUGACACUAAGAUACGAAAGCUAGGGUAGCGAAUGGG
This 253-nucleotide ribosomal RNA is filed under the name uncultured bacterium. Its description in RNAcentral is "partial 16S ribosomal RNA". It matches the Rfam family "Bacterial small subunit ribosomal RNA", at positions 524 to 776 of the family's 1533-position model. The record is from RNAcentral.